CGGUACCCCACCGCGCGAAGGUAGCAUAAUCACUUGUUCUUUAAAUAGGGACUCGUAUCAACGGCAUCACGAGGGCUAAACUGUCUCCUCUUUCUAAUCAAUGAACCUGACCUCUUCGUGAAGAGGCGAAGAUACUUAUAUAAGACGAGAAGACCCCAUGGAGCUUAAAACCUAAAUAACACUUUCUUACAUAAUAAACCAUAAUAAAUAAGAGUCCUGUUAGACGUUUUUGGCUGGGGCAUCCAAGGAGUAUAAUGAAACCUCCCUGACGAAUUUACCUUCGAACUACAAUUCUAAGGUAUAGAAAACUAAAGUAAUAUGACCCGACAAUCGAUCAACGAACCAAGUUACCCUGGGGAUAACAGCGCAAUCCAUUUUGAGAGCCCCUAUCGACAAAUGGGUUUACGACCUCGAUGUUGGAUCAGGGCAUCCCAGUGGUGCAGCCGCUACUAAAGGUUCGUUUGUUCAACGAUUAAAGCCCUACGUGAUCUGAGU
This 495-nucleotide ribosomal RNA is filed under the name Phrynobatrachus tokba (Tokba river frog). RNAcentral describes it as "partial 16S ribosomal RNA". It matches the Rfam family "Bacterial large subunit ribosomal RNA", at positions 1934 to 2610 of the family's 2925-position model. Lineage: Eukaryota; Metazoa; Chordata; Amphibia; Anura; Phrynobatrachidae. The record is from RNAcentral.